RNAcentral lists this long non-coding RNA (271 nucleotides) under Panax ginseng (ginseng). RNAcentral describes it as "long non-coding RNA (PGIN_LNC006198)". Lineage: Eukaryota; Viridiplantae; Streptophyta; Magnoliopsida; Apiales; Araliaceae. The record is from RNAcentral.
UUGAAAAACAAAGGCAGCACAAAAGUAAGAUUUUCCAUUUUAAAGGGUCAAUAUCUUCUUGCAGUUUCUUUCUUGUUUCUUCUCAAGAAAGUAGUACUCAUGCCACAGUUCUACCAAAACAUGGAACCUACGCCUCCAUUUUCUUGCUGGCAGAAUAUAGCACCCAAGCUAGCAGCUAGUAGUAAAUUUCUUAUAAUGGAGGUUUUAUGAUGGAGUCAUGGAGCCUUCUAUUGGAAACAUCAAUAUUAUCUCUUACAUGCAUUGCAGGGGC